UGGGCGUUAAGUUGCAGGGUAUAGACCCGAAACCCGGUGAUCUAGCCAUGGGCAGGUUGAAGGUUGGGUAACACUAACUGGAGGACCGAACCGACUAAUGUUGAAAAAUUAGCGGAUGACUUGUGGCUGGGGGUGAAAGGCCAAUCAAACCGGGAGAUAGCUGGUUCUCCCCGAAAGCUAUUUAGGUAGCGCCUCGUGAAUUCAUCUCCGGGGGUAGAGCACUGUUUCGGCAAGGGGGUCAUCCCGACUUACCAACCCGAUGCAAACUGCGAAUACCGGAGAAUGUUAUCACGGGAGACACACGGCGGGUGCUAACGUCCGUCGUGAAGAGGGAAACAACCCAGACCGCCAGCUAAGGUCCCAAAGUCAUGGUUAAGUGGGAAACGAUGUGGGAAGGCCCAGACAGCCAGGAUGUUGGCUUAGAAGCAGCCAUCAUUUAAAGAAAGCGUAAUAGCUCACUGGUCGAGUCGGCCUGCGCGGAAGAUGUAACGGGGCUAAACCAUGCACC
Molecule: ribosomal RNA, 508 nt
Filed under: Escherichia coli
Lineage: Bacteria; Pseudomonadati; Pseudomonadota; Gammaproteobacteria; Enterobacterales; Enterobacteriaceae
Description: partial 23S ribosomal RNA
Rfam family: Bacterial large subunit ribosomal RNA
Source: RNAcentral